UGAACGCUGGCGGCAGCCUAACACAUGCAAGUCGAACGGCAGCACAGAGGAGCUUGCUCCUUGGGUGGCGAGUGGCGGACGGGUGAGGAAUACGUCGGAAUCUGCCUAUUUGUGGGGGAUAACGUAGGGAAACUUACGCUAAUACCGCAUACGACCUACGGGUGAAAGUGGGGGACCUUCGGGCCUCACGCAGAUAGAUGAGCCGACGUCGGAUUAGCUAGUUGGCGGGGUAAAGGCCCACCAAGGCGACGAUCCGUAGCUGGUCUGAGAGGAUGAUCAGCCACACUGGAACUGAGACACGGUCCAGACUCCUACGGGAGGCAGCAGUGGGGAAUAUUGGACAAUGGGCGCAAGCCUGAUCCAGCCAUGCCGCGUGUGUGAAGAAGGCCUUCGGGUUGUAAAGCACUUUUGUCCGGAAAGAAAAGCUUAGGGUUAAUAACCCUGAGUCAUGACGGUACCGGAAGAAUAAGCACCGGCUAACUUCGUGCCAGCAGCCGCGGUAAUACGAAGGGUGCAAGCGUUACUCGGAAUUACUGGGCGUAAAGCGUGCGUAGGUGGUUUGUUAAGUCUGAUGUGAAAGCCCUGGGCUCAACCUGGGAAUGGCAUUGGAAACUGGCUUACUAGAGUGCGGUAGAGGGUAGUGGAAUUCCCGGUGUAGCAGUGAAAUGCGUAGAUAUCGGGAGGAACAUCUGUGGCUAAGGCGACUACCUGGACCAGCACUGACACUGAGGCACGAAAGCGUGGGGAGCAAACAGGAUUAGAUANCCUGGUAGUCCACGCCCUAAACGAUGCGAACUGGAUGUUGGGGGCAACUUGGCCCUCAGUAUCGAAGCUAACGCGUUAAGUUCG
Molecule: ribosomal RNA, 849 nt
Filed under: uncultured Lysobacter sp.
Lineage: Bacteria; Pseudomonadati; Pseudomonadota; Gammaproteobacteria; Lysobacterales; Lysobacteraceae
Description: bacterial SSU rRNA
Rfam family: Bacterial small subunit ribosomal RNA
Source: RNAcentral